UAGCAGGCUGGAGGCUGUAAUCCACGGUCGGUAGCGUG
Regulatory RNA element from Aeromonas hydrophila subsp. hydrophila ATCC 7966, 38 nucleotides. It matches the Rfam family "JUMPstart RNA". Lineage: Bacteria; Pseudomonadati; Pseudomonadota; Gammaproteobacteria; Aeromonadales; Aeromonadaceae. The record is from Rfam.